Molecule: unclassified non-coding RNA, 238 nt
Filed under: uncultured Pseudomonadaceae bacterium
Lineage: Bacteria; Pseudomonadati; Pseudomonadota; Gammaproteobacteria; Pseudomonadales; Pseudomonadaceae
Description: contains 16S-23S intergenic spacer region
Source: RNAcentral
UCCGGCUCAACGCCGGCAGUCUCUCUAGAAAGUUCAUUGGAUGUCAAGGCCUGGUAAGGUUCUUCGCGUUGCUUCGAAUUAAACCACAUGCUCCACCGCUUGUGCGGGCCCCCGUCAAUUCAUUUGAGUUUUAACCUUGCGGCCGUACUCCCCAGGCGGUCAACUUAAUGCGUUAGCUGCGCCACUAAGAGUUCAAGACUCCCAACGGCUAGUUGACAUCGUUUACGGCGUGGACUAC